Molecule: ribosomal RNA, 133 nt
Filed under: uncultured bacterium
Lineage: Bacteria
Description: partial 16S ribosomal RNA
Source: RNAcentral
GUAGUUAGCCGACGCUUAUUCCUGGCCUACUGUCCUGUCUCUUCAGCCAGAAAAGCCCUUUACAACCCGAAAGCCUUCAUCGGGCACGCGGCGUUGCUGCCUCAGACUUGCGUCCAUUGGGCAAUAUUCCUUA